Molecule: non-coding RNA, 409 nt
Organism: Pelodiscus sinensis (Chinese soft-shelled turtle)
Lineage: Eukaryota; Metazoa; Chordata; Testudines; Trionychidae
Source: RefSeq, a predicted model, not a curated record
AAUCCAGGCAGGACUACCAUGUCUCCAAGGAAUUUGGACUGAACAAAGAAAAUUAUGAGUAAUUAAAGGGGAAAGUGAAUCCAGUCAGGUUGAGGCUCAUCACUUCAGACGCAGCUUUGCUUUGAAGGAAGGAUUUAUAUUCCAAAGUCUUUGAAGAUGGCAGUUUGUUCCUUCUCUUCUAAGAGCCUGCACCAGGAACUUUGUGAUUGGUGUACGGAAGCCUUACUGCUGCAAAUCACAGAGUAUCAGAGCAACCAAGAAAGAAUACUGGAGAGACAUUUCUUCCCUCACUUCCUGUGAACCUUAUUAGGAAGCCUUAGGACACUUGCUGGGCUCUGAAUGCCACACCAUACUUAAGAAUCUCAUCAGUCCACCUUGCAAGACAAUGAUGUGUUUAUUCUUUUUAUAA